AAUGGGCGAAAGCCUGACCCAGCAACGCCGCGUGAAGGAAGAAGGCCCUCGGGUUGUAAACUUCUUUUAAGAGGGACGAAACAAAUGACGGUACCUCUUGAAUAAGCCACGGCUAACUACGUGCCAGCAGCCGCGGUAAUACGUAGGUGGCAAGCGUUAUCCGGAUUUACUGGGUGUAAAGGGCGUGUAGGCGGGAGUGCAAGUCAGAUGUGAAAAUUAUGGGCUCAACCCAUAACCUGCAUUUGAAACUGUUCUUCUUGAGUGAUGGAGAGGCAGGCGGAAUUCCGUGUGUAGCGGUGAAAUGCGUAGAUAUACGGAGGAACACCAGUGGCGAAGGCGGCCUGCUGGACAUUAACUGACGCUGAGGCGCGAAAGCGUGGGGAGCAAA
This 388-nucleotide ribosomal RNA is filed under the name uncultured bacterium. RNAcentral's name for it is "bacterial SSU rRNA". It matches the Rfam family "Bacterial small subunit ribosomal RNA", at positions 370 to 772 of the family's 1533-position model. The record is from RNAcentral.